RNAcentral lists this ribosomal RNA (497 nucleotides) under uncultured bacterium. Its description in RNAcentral is "partial 16S ribosomal RNA". It matches the Rfam family "Bacterial small subunit ribosomal RNA", at positions 28 to 507 of the family's 1533-position model. The record is from RNAcentral.
GAUGAACGCUGGCGGCGUGCCUAAUACAUGCAAGUCGAGCGAACGGACCAGAAGCUGGCUUCUCUGAUGUUAGCGGCGGAGGGGUGAGUAACACGGGGAUAACCUACCUAUAAGACUGGGAUAACUUCGGGAAACCGGAGCUAAUGCCGGAUAAUUUUUUGAACCUGGUGGUUCAAGAGUGAAAUACGGUCUUGCGGUCGGUUAUAGAUGGAUCCGCGCUGCAUGAGCUGGUUGGUAAGGUAAAGGCUUACCAAGGCAACGAUGCAUAGCCGACCUCAGAGGGUGAUCGCCGACCCUGGAGGUGAGACAGGGUCCAGACUCCUGCGGUACGGCGCAGCAGGGAAUCUUACGCAAUGGGGGAGAGCCUUACAGAGCAGCGCGGCGUGAGUGAUGACGGUGCUCGGAUCGGAAAGCUCUGUUAUUAGUGAAGAACCUAUGUGUAAGUAACUGUGCAGAUAUUGACGGUACCGAGUCAGAAAGCCACGGCUAACUACGUG